GAUUUCUGGUUCGAUGCGUUUGGCCCUCUCGGAGCAAUCCGGCGUGCGUGCCGAUGCGCGUCUGCCAUCCCUUGUAGAGAACGUUUCUACCCUUCACUGGGCCGGAUUCGCAAUCUACAUCUUUUACUUUGAAAAAAUUAGAGUGUUUAAAGCAGGUGUUGCGCCUUGAAUACAUUAGCAUGGAAUAAUAAUUUAGGACUUCUGCCUAUUUUAUUGGUUUCUAGGUUUGGAGUAAUGAUUGAUAGGGAUAGUUGGGGGUGCUAGUAUUCAUCGGCCAGAGGUGAAAUUCUUGGAUUCGAUGAAGACUAACUAAUGCGAAAGCAUU
Molecule: ribosomal RNA, 325 nt
Filed under: Thaumatomonas sp.
Lineage: Eukaryota; Cercozoa; Imbricatea; Thaumatomonadida; Thaumatomastigidae
Description: SSU rRNA
Rfam family: Eukaryotic small subunit ribosomal RNA (bases 108-325)
Source: RNAcentral